RNAcentral lists this long non-coding RNA (322 nucleotides) under Chrysemys picta bellii (western painted turtle). RNAcentral's name for it is "lncRNA (ENSCPBG00000008193.1)". The record is from RNAcentral. Lineage: Eukaryota; Metazoa; Chordata; Testudines; Emydidae.
UUCAGCUGGGAUUUUAAUCAUUUAUACUUCUGACUUUCAUUUCCUCACCUCAGGGCAUCAGCUGUCAUCAGGAGCCCAGAGCAGAAGAGAUCUUUCCAAGGUCGUUACAGACUGUGGGGGAAUUGCAGCUAAAGCCAUUGAGCUUAAUGGGAAUUAGUCAUGCGUCCUUGAUUGUUCAGAUGUUGGAAGAGGGACCUGAAUAACUCACUGAGGUGGUUAUCUUGCCUAUCACUGUGGUAUCUGAGUGCCCAGCAAUCUUAUCUGAAAGGUAACAAAUUUUUUCCCCCCGUAAAAAACAAUGUACCCUGCAUGUAUUUAUCAU